CUACGGGGUGCACCAGUAGGGAAUCUUCCGCAAUGGACGAAAGUCUGACGGAGCAACGCCGCGUGAGUGAUUAAGGUUUUCGGAUUGUAAAACUCUGUCAUUAGGGAAGAAAAGAUAUAGUUUAAACAAGGCUAUAUUGUGACGGUACCUAAAGAGGAAGCCCCGGCUAGCUACGUGGCCAGCAGCCGCGGUAAUACGUAGGGGGCAAGCGUUGUCCGGAAUUAUUGGGCGUAAAGCGCGCGUAGGCGGUUCUUUAAGUCUGGUGUGAAAGCCCACGGCUCAACCGUGGAGGGUCAUUGGAAACUGGAGGACUUGAGUGCAGGAGAGGAAAGCGGAAUUCCAUGUGUAGCGGUGAAAUGCGUAGAUAUAUGGAGGAACACCAGUGGCGAAGGCGGCUUUCUGGCCUGCAACUGACGCUGAGGCGCGAAAGCGUGGGGAGCAAACAGGAUUAGAUACCCCCGUAGUC
RNAcentral lists this ribosomal RNA (466 nucleotides) under uncultured bacterium. RNAcentral describes it as "partial 16S ribosomal RNA". It matches the Rfam family "Bacterial small subunit ribosomal RNA", at positions 339 to 795 of the family's 1533-position model. The record is from RNAcentral.